GCAGCGGCAAAGUACUUAUCUA
RNAcentral lists this non-coding RNA (22 nucleotides) under Arabidopsis thaliana (thale cress). Lineage: Eukaryota; Viridiplantae; Streptophyta; Magnoliopsida; Brassicales; Brassicaceae. The record is from RNAcentral.